Molecule: ribosomal RNA, 544 nt
Filed under: Staphylococcus aureus
Lineage: Bacteria; Bacillati; Bacillota; Bacilli; Caryophanales; Staphylococcaceae
Description: partial 23S ribosomal RNA
Rfam family: Bacterial large subunit ribosomal RNA
Source: RNAcentral
GACCUACAAGUCGAGCAGGGUCGAAAGACGGACUUAGUGAUCCGGUGGUUCCGCAUGGAAGGGCCAUCGCUCAACGGAUAAAAGCUACCCCGGGGAUAACAGGCUUAUCUCCCCCAAGAGUUCACAUCGACGGGGAGGUUUGGCACCUCGAUGUCGGCUCAUCGCAUCCUGGGGCUGUAGUCGGUCCCAAGGGUUGGGCUGUUCGCCCAUUAAAGCGGUACGCGAGCUGGGUUCAGAACGUCGUGAGACAGUUCGGUCCCUAUCCGUCGUGGGCGUAGGAAAUUUGAGAGGAGCUGUCCUUAGUACGAGAGGACCGGGAUGGACAUACCUCUGGUGUACCAGUUGUCGUGCCAACGGCAUAGCUGGGUAGCUAUGUGUGGACGGGAUAAGUGCUGAAAGCAUCUAAGCAUGAAGCCCCCCUCAAGAUGAGAUUUCCCAACUUCGGUUAUAAGAUCCCUCAAAGAUGAUGAGGUUAAUAGGUUCGAGGUGGAAGCAUGGUGACAUGUGGAGCUGACGAAUACUAAUCGAUCGAAGACUUAAUCAA